RNAcentral lists this ribosomal RNA (324 nucleotides) under uncultured bacterium. RNAcentral's name for it is "bacterial SSU rRNA". It matches the Rfam family "Bacterial small subunit ribosomal RNA", at positions 28 to 356 of the family's 1533-position model. The record is from RNAcentral.
GAUGAACGCUGGCGGCGUGCCUAAUACAUGCAAGUCGAACGGUGAUUGUAGCAAUACGGUCUCAGUGGCGAACGGGUGAGUAACGCGUUGGUGACCUGCCCCAAAGAGCGGGAUAACAGUUCGAAAGGACUGCUAAUACCGCAUGUGAUCUCCGGGAUUAGAGACCUGGAGAUGGAAGGGAGAAAUCCGCUUUGGAGGGACCUGCGUCCCAUCAGCUAGUUGGUAGGUAACGGCCUACCAAGGCGAUGACGGUAGGGGACCUGAGAGGGUGGCCCCCCACAAUGGAACUGAAACACGGUCCAUACACCUACGGGUGCAGCAGUA